ACACCGGCAGCCCAAGUGGUGGCCAUUUUUAUUGGGCCUAAAGCGUUCGUAGCCGGCCUGAUAAGUCUCUGGUGAAAUCCCGCAGCUUAACUGUGGGAAUUGCUGGAGAUACUAUCAGGCUUGAGGUCGGGAGAGGUUAGAGGUACUCCCAGGGGAGGGGUGAAAUCCUAUAAUCCUGGGAGGACCACCUGUGGCGAAGGCGGCUAACUGGAACUAACCUUACGGUGAGUAACGGAAGCCAGGGGCGCGAACCGGAUUAGAUACCCGGGUAGUCCUGGCCGUAAACGAUGUGGACUUGGUGUUGGGAUGGCCUCGAGCUGCCCCAGUGCCGAAGGGAAGCUGUUAAGUCCACCGCCUGGGAAGUACGGUCGCAAGACUGAAACUUAAAUGAAUUGGCGGGG
This 401-nucleotide ribosomal RNA is filed under the name uncultured bacterium. RNAcentral's name for it is "partial 16S ribosomal RNA". It matches the Rfam family "Archaeal small subunit ribosomal RNA", at positions 473 to 873 of the family's 1478-position model. The record is from RNAcentral.